RNAcentral lists this ribosomal RNA (497 nucleotides) under uncultured bacterium. Its description in RNAcentral is "partial 16S ribosomal RNA". It matches the Rfam family "Bacterial small subunit ribosomal RNA", at positions 28 to 507 of the family's 1533-position model. The record is from RNAcentral.
GAUGAACGCUGGCGGCGUGCCUAAUACAUGCAAGUCGAGCGAACAGACGAGGAGCUUGCUCCUCUGACGUUAGCGGCGGACGGGUGAGUAACACGUGGAUAACCUACCUAUAAGACUGGGAUAACUUCGGGAAACCGGAGCUAAUACCGGAUAAUAUAUUGAACCGCAUGGUUCAAUAGUGAAAGACGGUUUUGCUGUCACUUAUCGAUGGAUCCGCGCCGCAUUAGCUAGUUGGUAAGGUAACGGCUUACCAAGGCGACGAUGCGUAGCCGACCUGAGAGGGUGAUCGGCCACAUGGGAACUGAGACACGGUCCAGACUCCUACGGGAGGCAGCAGUAGGGAAUCGUCCGCAAUGGGCGAAAGCCUGACGGAGCAACGCCGCGUGAGUGAUGAAGGUCUUCGGAUCGUAAAACUCUGUUAUUAGGGAAGAACAAAUGUGUAAGUAACUAUGCACGUCUUGACGGUACCUAAUCAGAAAGCCACGGCUAACUACGUG